This is an RNA transcript of Xiphias gladius (swordfish), 3384 nucleotides long. It is a transcript of the gene named endogenous retrovirus group PABLB member 1 Env polyprotein-like, with no coding region annotated. The transcript has 5 exons. Lineage: Eukaryota; Metazoa; Chordata; Actinopteri; Istiophoriformes; Xiphiidae. The record is from RefSeq and is a predicted model, not a curated record.
CUUUUGAAAUAGGAAGUUUGGAAGCCCCCCCUCCACAGGGUGGGGCCCAGUGAAACCCGCCUUGACCACCGGCAAUUAUGAGGAUAGCAUGAUAAGAUACUGUGCUAAUUUGUCAGCAGCUUUGUCUUCUUUACAUGCACAGGUGAAAGCUGUGCUCCCUUCCCCAGCUGCAGCAGCCCAGCACCAUUUGAAGCCGGGAGACUGGGUGCUCAUUAAGGACCACAGACGAAAACACUGGAAGCAGAGGCGCUACAUCGGGCCUUUCCAAGUCCUCCUGGUCACAGAGACAGCGGUGAAAGUAGACGGGAGAGCACCUUGGAUACACGCCAGCCACUGCAAACGCAUCCUGGAGGUCCAGAGGGGAGGAGCUGCGUAGACCAGAGCCAGGGAACUGGCAGAGGCCCGCAAUUCCAGUAAUUAUACAAGUACCAGCCCUCAUCUACGUCCCAAGAGAGAGUGGCGAGAGGGGAGUAUUACUUUCCAUUGUCCCACUGGCCGAUGUGGUAAGGACAAUUGCACAAUAUAUACAGUAGAAGAUGGCGCGGUGACUAACAUCCAAAGAGAGUUAACAGAGGUUGUGUGUGACACCCGAUCUGCGACCAAUAAUGUUUGCACUGUAUGGUUGCAUGAGGUGUUUGACCAUAAAUCAGAUUUUUCGUAUUGGUGCAGGAGAACCCGGGCUUGCCAAGAAGCUCCAGCCUAUGGCGCCCACAGCGAAUGGUACAAGACGUGCCAAGCCAGGAUACCGAAACCCGGCAUGAUCAUGUUUAAGUGUCCUGCGGGAUCAUGGGCAGAUCACGUGUGCCACAUAUAUGCAUUAGGACUCUCUGAACCCUUUUUUGGCCAUUGGUCUGAAUUAAAAGCAGCACAUGUGCAGACCCAGUGCGACACACAUGACACAUGCUCAGUGACUUUGAGUGCUAGAUUCGAUUCCAGCUGGGAAUACCCUACUGGUGCAGCAGACCUGACGAUUGUGACACCGAGCCAAAUUACCCAACUGACUUGUAUUGGAAGCCUGCAUGUAGAGUAAGCUUAGAAUUAAGAAAACUCCCCACCCGUGUUCCACCUUACGAAGAUCACAGCACCGCUUUAUCUAUAAUGACAGAGUCUGCACAUAGAAGUAACCUUUUAAUUUGUGGGAUUUGUCAACAUUUGCCCACUUCAUCUAAAUCUCCUAUGCUUGCUCCGGUUCCAUUCACGGGAGCAGACUGGCGUGUUAGGGGUGGCGAGUUAUAUCUGACCGGUUCAGGAAAAUGAUGAAGACUGCUACACACCUUCAUCACACGCAGCGCCCACCACGGGGACCCUCCAUCAGUACGAGGGUGAUAAAGGGGAAGUUAUACGCUUUGUAAUAAGAACAUUUAACUAUCAAGAACAUCCGACUGGCGUUAAUUGGGUAACUCUUUUUAAGUUAACAUAUUACAAGAAAUUUGUUUUACAGGGGCUGCGCUAUCAAAUGCAAAUGACUUUAGCUGAAACAAAUUGCACUACUGAAAGUACGUGGGUAAAUUCUGAAUGUGUCCUUUGACCAAAUACAGCAUCCAUCUGUCUCGAGGUAGGAGUGCAGAGUACACCAUGGGCAAAAAGGUUUAAGGUAUCCCAUUCAUCCUGGGUGAGGCAUAAUUGUACUCAACCCAUAAUUCCAAUUAGACCAAGUGAUAGAAAUUGUACUAAGCCCACACCUCCAAUUCCAGUACAUCCACAGACCAACGUGGAUCUCUGUUUUCAUUUUAGCACGAUAGAAGGGUUCUUCUUGGGUAAAAGUGAUUGCACAAAGCUGGUAGUUUCCCUUUCCAGUGCAACGGAAGGUCUUGCAUUACCAGAGCAGGCUCAUUUGGUCUGUGGUAACUCUGCUUACAGUUGCGUUCCAAAAAUAGGGACGACUCUCAAGAAACCUGUCACUGGGACAUGUUAUUUAGCUUAUCUAAUUGCUGUUAUUAGGCAGGCUGACCCUAGAGAGCUUGCGCCCUAUCACAUACGAGACAAGCACACAAUUUCUAUGGCGUCCAGAAUCCCGAGCAUCGUGAUACCAGCAUAUGGCGUUUAUAAAAGUCAAGAAGAAAUAGCCGUGCUCUCAACAGUGCUUGAGAGACACAUGAAUAAAACUACCAUUGCGCUCUCUGCUAUGCAACCGGAACUGACUGAUAUCAGAGGCAUGGUUCUUCAGAAUAGAAUGGCUUUAGACCUGAUUUUGGCCUCCCAAGGGGGCGUGUGUAAAGUUCUGGGGUGGGAAUGUUGUUCUUACAUUUCAGAUGCUUCCUCUGCGGUGCAUGACGUGGUAGCAGACACCGAACGGGGUAUUCAAGAACUGCACGAAGACCACGACUGGAACCCAUUUGGUGAAAUGCAGUCCUGGACAGGGUCUUGGGGGGCGUCACUCGUCAAAGUACUAGCCUGGGUGGUGGGGGUGUUAAUUCUCAUUAUGAUCGUGAUUGCCCUGAUGGUGUUUAUUUCCAGGGCCUGUGUAAAGAAAGCUGUGACUGCUCUAGUAUCCUCACCUGAUCCGGGUCUACUAGACAUGACUCUCCUACCAGAUUGGAUUCCUCCAUAUGCUGAAAGCGAUGGCCUUUCUAGCCUAACACUUGGCGACGAGGAUGGGAUCGGACGCGUGAUCUGGACUCCGCCGGACGGACAGACGGGCCAAACUAAACUCCCAUUGAGACUGCCAUCCUGCGGAGACCGGUUCGCCGAUCCGAUCCAACGGACAACCACGUACGGUGGAGACAUGCAGUGAUCAGCAUUCAGAAAGAGUGAAAGCUGUGCUCCCUUCCCCAGCUGCAGCAGCCCAGCACCAUUUGAAGCCGGGAGACUGGGUGCUCAUUAAGGACCACAGACGAAAACACUGGAAGCAGAGGCGCUACAUCGGGCCUUUCCAAGUCCUCCUGGUCACAGAGACAGCGGUGAAAGUAGACGGGAGAGCACCUUGGAUACACGCCAGCCACUGCAAACGCAUCCUGGAGGUCCAGAGGGGAGGAGCUGCGUAGACCAGAGCCAGGGAACUGGCAGAGGCCCGCAAUUCCAGUAAUUAUACAAGUACCAGCCCUCAUCUACGUCCCAAGAGAGAGUGGCGAGAGGGGAGUAUUACUUUCCAUUGUCCCACUGGCCGAUGUGGUAAGGACAAUUGCACAAUAUAUACAGUAGAAGAUGGCGCGGUGACUAACAUCCAAAGAGAGUUAACAGAGGUUGUGUGUGACACCCGAUCUGCGACCAAUAAUGUUUGCACUGUAUGGUUGCAUGAGGUGUUUGACCAUAAAUCAGAUUUUUCGUAUUGGUGCAGGAGAACCCGGGCUUGCCAAGAAGCUCCAGCCUAUGGCGCCCACAGCGAAUGGUACAAGACGUGCCAAGCCAGGAUACCGAAACCCGGCAUGAUCAUGUUUAAGUGUC